RNAcentral lists this ribosomal RNA (1396 nucleotides) under uncultured bacterium. Its description in RNAcentral is "16S ribosomal RNA". It matches the Rfam family "Bacterial small subunit ribosomal RNA". The record is from RNAcentral.
AGAGUUUGAUCCUGGCUCAGGAUGAACGCUAGCUACAGGCUUAACACAUGCAAGUCGAGGGGCAGCAUGGUCUUAGCUUGCUAAGGCCGAUGGCGACCGGCGCACGGGUGAGUAACACGUAUCCAACCUGCCGUCUACUCUUGGACAGCCUUCUGAAAGGAAGAUUAAUACAAGAUGGCAUCAUGAGUCCGCAUGUUCACAUGAUUAAAGGUAUUCCGGUAGACGAUGGGGAUGCGUUCCAUUAGAUAGUAGGCGGGGUAACGGCCCACCUAGUCUUCGAUGGAUAGGGGUUCUGAGAGGAAGGUCCCCCACAUUGGAACUGAGACACGGUCCAAACUCCUACGGGAGGCAGCAGUGAGGAAUAUUGGUCAAUGGGCGCAGGCCUGAACCAGCCAAGUAGCGUGAAGGAUGACUGCCCUAUGGGUUGUAAACUUCUUUUAUAAAGGAAUAAAGUCGGGUAUGCAUACCCGUUUGCAUGUACUUUAUGAAUAAGGAUCGGCUAACUCCGUGCCAGCAGCCGCGGUAAUACGGAGGAUCCGAGCGUUAUCCGGAUUUAUUGGGUUUAAAGGGAGCGUAGAUGGAUGUUUAAGUCAGUUGUGAAAGUUUGCGGCUCAACCGUAAAAUUGCAGUUGAUACUGGAUAUCUUGAGUGCAGUUGAGGCAGGCGGAAUUCGUGGUGUAGCGGUGAAAUGCUUAGAUAUCACGAAGAACUCCGAUUGCGAAGGCAGCCUGCUAAGCUGCAACUGACAUUGAGGCUCGAAAGUGUGGGUAUCAAACAGGAUUAGAUACCCUGGUAGUCCACACGGUAAACGAUGAAUACUCGCUGUUUGCGAUAUACGGCAAGCGGCCAAGCGAAAGCGUUAAGUAUUCCACCUGGGGAGUACGCCGGCAACGGUGAAACUCAAAGGAAUUGACGGGGGCCCGCACAAGCGGAGGAACAUGUGGUUUAAUUCGAUGAUACGCGAGGAACCUUACCCGGGCUUAAAUUGCAGAUGAAUUACGGUGAAAGCCGUAAGCCGCAAGGCAUCUGUGAAGGUGCUGCAUGGUUGUCGUCAGCUCGUGCCGUGAGGUGUCGGCUUAAGUGCCAUAACGAGCGCAACCCUUGUUGUCAGUUACUAACAGGUUCCGCUGAGGACUCUGACAAGACUGCCAUCGUAAGAUGUGAGGAAGGUGGGGAUGACGUCAAAUCAGCACGGCCCUUACGUCCGGGGCUACACACGUGUUACAAUGGGGGGUACAGAGGGCCGCUACCACGCGAGUGGAUGCCAAUCCCAAAAACCUCUCUCAGUUCGGACUGGAGUCUGCAACCCGACUCCACGAAGCUGGAUUCGCUAGUAAUCGCGCAUCAGCCACGGCGCGGUGAAUACGUUCCCGGGCCUUGCACACACCGCCCGUCA